GACAGUGUAGUCAAGUGGACAGACACUAGACUAAGAGUCAGGAAACCUGAGUUCUAUUCCAGCUCUGUCA
RNAcentral lists this transfer RNA (70 nucleotides) under Pelodiscus sinensis (Chinese soft-shelled turtle). It matches the Rfam family "tRNA". From Rfam's summary of the family: Transfer RNA (tRNA) molecules are approximately 80 nucleotides in length. Their secondary structure includes four short double-helical elements and three loops (D, anti-codon, and T loops). Further hydrogen bonds mediate the characteristic L-shaped molecular structure. tRNAs have two regions of fundamental functional importance: the anti-codon, which is responsible for specific mRNA codon recognition, and the 3' end, to which the tRNAs corresponding amino acid is attached (by aminoacyl-tRNA synthetases). tRNAs cope with the degeneracy of the genetic code in two manners: having more than one tRNA (with a specific anti-codon) for a particular amino acid; and 'wobble' base-pairing, i.e. permitting non-standard base-pairing at the 3rd anti-codon position. Lineage: Eukaryota; Metazoa; Chordata; Testudines; Trionychidae. The record is from Rfam by way of RNAcentral.